UGGUGAGCGAUUACGGAUUGGGCCUUUGAUUAACUUUUUAACAAAUAAGAAAAGCAAAUUUGUAAUUUUAAUUUUUUAGAAUUUAUUUGCUGCCAUAGUGGGUUUUUAGUCCCGUAUUUACGUUUAAGUUAAUUAAUUGAGUAGGGUGGGUUAUGUUUAUCCUGCCUGAAUAUAGUAGAACCACCUACUAAGCCUAAUUAAUACAGAUGACCGAUAGUGUACAAGUACCGUGAGGGAAUGGUGAAAAAGAUACCCUUUUGGGUUUGUUGAAAAGAAACUGAACCCCAUAACUUACAUAGCUGUUGGAGCUUUUUUGAAAGUGACAGCGUACCUUUUGCAUAAUGGGUCAGCGAGUUAGUUUAUUUAGCAAGCUUAAGUUUAUUUUUUAAAUGUAGGCGUAGUGAAGGCAAGUUGUAAAAUACGACUAGUUAAAUAAAUUAGACCCGAAACCAAGUGAUCUAGUUAUGAGCAGGUUGAUGGUGGUUUUAAUAACUGUCGGAGGACCGAACCCGUAUUUGUUGAAAAAAAUUGGGAUGACUUGUAAUUAGGGGUGAAAGGCUAAUCAAACUUGGAGAUAGCUGGUUUUCCGCGAAAUCUAUUGAAGUAGAGCGUUGUUAUGAGUAUAUUGUUGGGGGUAGAGUACGAGAUUAGCUAGGGGGUCGUCGUUGAUUUACUGAAUUUAUCACAACUCCGAAUACCAAUUAAUUAUUUUUUCAGCAGUCAGACUGCGAGUGUGAAGAUUCGUGGUCGAGAGGGAAACAGCCCAGAUUUUAAGCUAAGGUCCUUAAAUUUUAGUUAAGUGUGAGUUGAGAAUAUAUGUUGUUUUUAUAUUAGGAGGUUGACUUAGAGGCAGUCAUCUUUUAAAGAAAGCGUAAAAGCUCACUAAUUUUUAUAUAUAACUACAUGUAUUCGCAAAUGAAUAGGGACUUUCAACUAAAUACCGAAGCUAAAGGUGUUUUAACAAUUUUAAAACACGGUAGCGGAAUGUUCUGUAGACUUUUGAAGGGUUGAUGUAAAUCAAUUUGGAGGUAACAGAAGUAAGAAUGCUGGCAUGAGUAGCGACAAAUAAUGUAACGUGAUUUGUGGUAACAUUAAUUGCGUUAGAUAAACAUUAUCGCCGAAAAACUAAGGGUUUCUUUGUUAGGUUAGUCCGCGAAGAGUUAGUCGGUCCCUAAGAGAGUAGUGGAAACUGCGGUCGAUGGGUUUAUAAGCUAAUAUUCUUAUAUCUACUACACUAUUUAUAAAUACGCUACAAAAAUCUUUUAAAAGAAUUUUAAAAGCCUCUUUGUAGUAGUAUUGGUUUUUUUAAAAUGACCUGCUAAACAAUUUAUUAUUCUUUAGACGAUUAAAUUUAAUUUUGAGUUUAGCUGCUAGAAAUAGUUUUAAAUAAAACUCAUAUAAAUGCUGGCUUAAGUUAAUUGUAAAAUUUUAAUUUAAGUGUAGACCGUACUAUAAACUGACACAAGUGGUUGGGUAGAGAAUACUAAGGCGCUUGGGAGAACAAUAUUGAAGGAACUCGGCAAAAUUACUCUGUAACUUCGGGAGAAAGAGUGUCUUAGGGGGGCUAUAAAUUAUAGAAAUUAGUUUUUCUAUAAUUUAAUUGUUUGGGCUAAUUUUUUUAAAUUUGCUCUUUUUUGAAAGCUUUUUUAAGGUGGCAGAGAAAUGGCCCAGGCGACUGUUUAGCAAAAACACAUGGCUAUGCGAAGAUUAAUGUCGACGUAUAUGGCCUGAUACCUGCCCGGUGCUGGAAGGUUAAGAGGGGAUGUCAUCGCAAGAGAAGCAUUGAAUCGAAGCCCCAGUAAACGGCGGCCGUAAUUAUAACGGUCCUAAGGUAGCGAAAUUCCUUGUCGGGUAAGUUCCGACCUGCACGAAUGGCGUAACGAUGGCCACACUGUCUCCUCCCGAGACUCAGCGAAGUUGAAAUGUUUGUGAUGAUGCAAUCUCCCCGCGGAAAGACGGAAAGACCCCAUGAACCUUUACUGUAGCUUU
RNAcentral lists this ribosomal RNA (1989 nucleotides) under freshwater metagenome. RNAcentral's name for it is "bacterial LSU rRNA". It matches the Rfam family "Bacterial large subunit ribosomal RNA", at positions 247 to 2113 of the family's 2925-position model. The record is from RNAcentral.